GGAGUCGCGGUCCCGCUCGCGCUCCACCAAUACGGCCGUGUCCCGGCGCGAGCGGGACCGGG
This is a microRNA precursor of Ictidomys tridecemlineatus (thirteen-lined ground squirrel), 62 nucleotides long. The record is from Ensembl. Lineage: Eukaryota; Metazoa; Chordata; Mammalia; Rodentia; Sciuridae.